CCCCGCAAGGUCUCUAUACAGGUGGUGCAUGGUUGUCGUCAGCUCGUGUCGUGAGAUGUUGGGUUAAGUCCCGCAACGAGCGCAACCCUCGUUCUAUGUUGCCAGCACGUAAUGGUGGGAACUCAUGGGAUACUGCCGGGGUCAACUCGGAGGAAGGUGGGGAUGACGUCAAAUCAUCAUGCCCCUUAUGUCUUGGGCUUCACGCAU
This 207-nucleotide ribosomal RNA is filed under the name uncultured Cellulosimicrobium sp. RNAcentral's name for it is "partial 16S ribosomal RNA". It matches the Rfam family "Bacterial small subunit ribosomal RNA", at positions 1014 to 1223 of the family's 1533-position model. Lineage: Bacteria; Bacillati; Actinomycetota; Actinomycetes; Micrococcales; Promicromonosporaceae. The record is from RNAcentral.